GAUGAACGCUGGCGGCGUGCCUAAUACAUGCAAGUCGAGCGAACAGACGAGGAGCUUGCUCCUCUGACGUUAGCGGCGGACGGGUGAGUAACACGUGGAUAACCUACCUAUAAGACUGGGAUAACUUCGGGAAACCGGAGCUAAUACCGGAUAAUAUAUUGAACCGCAUGGUUCAAUAGUGAAAGACGGUUUUGCUGUCACUUAUAGAUGGAUCCGCGCCGCAUUAGCUAGUUGGUAAGGUAACGGCUUACCAAGGCAACGAUGCGUAGCCGACCUGAGAGGUUGAUCGGCCACACUGGAACUGAGCCACGGUCCAGACUCCUACGGGAGGCAGCAGUAGGGAAUCUUCCGCAAUGGGCGAAAGCUUGACGGAGCAACGCCGCGUGAGUGAUGAAGGUCUUCGGAUCGUAAAACUCUGUUAUUAGGGAAGAACAAAUGUGUAAGUAACUAUGCACGUCUUGACGGUACCUAAUCAGAAAGCCACGGCUAACUACGUG
This 497-nucleotide ribosomal RNA is filed under the name uncultured bacterium. Its description in RNAcentral is "partial 16S ribosomal RNA". It matches the Rfam family "Bacterial small subunit ribosomal RNA", at positions 28 to 507 of the family's 1533-position model. The record is from RNAcentral.